AUUUGAAGAGCUUGCUCAGAUAUGACGAUGGACAUUGCAAAGAGUGGCGAACGGGUGAGUAACACGUGGGAAACCUACCUCUUAGCAGGGGAUAACAUUUGGAAACAGAUGCUAAUACCGUAUAACAAUAGCAACCGCAUGGUUGCUACUUAAAAGAUGGUUCUGCUAUCACUAAGAGAUGGUCCCGCGGUGCAUUAGUUAGUUGGUGAGGUAAUGGCUCACCAAGACGAUGAUGCAUAGCCAAGUUGAGAGACUGAUCGGCCACAAUGGGACUGAGACACGGCCCAUACUCCUACGGGAGGCAGCAGUAGGGAAUCUUCCACAAUGGGCGAAAGCCUGAUGGAGCAACGCCGCGUGUGUGAUGAAGGGUUUCGGCUCGUAAAACACUGUUGUAAGAGAAGAAUGACAUUGAGAGUAACUGUUCAAUGUGUGACGGUAUCUUACCAGAAAGGAACGGCUAAAUACGUGCCAGCAGCCGCGGUAAUACGUAUGUUCCAAGCGUUAUCCGGAUUUAUUGGGCGUAAAGCGAGCGCAGACGGUUAUUUAAGUCUGAAGUGAAAGCCCUCAGCUCAACUGAGGAAUUGCUUUGGAAACUGGAUGACUUGAGUGCAGUAGAGGAAAGUGGAACUCCAUGUGUAGCGGUGAAAUGCGUAGAU
This 656-nucleotide ribosomal RNA is filed under the name Weissella cibaria. RNAcentral's name for it is "bacterial SSU rRNA". It matches the Rfam family "Bacterial small subunit ribosomal RNA", at positions 66 to 695 of the family's 1533-position model. Lineage: Bacteria; Bacillati; Bacillota; Bacilli; Lactobacillales; Lactobacillaceae. The record is from RNAcentral.